This 486-nucleotide ribosomal RNA is filed under the name uncultured bacterium. RNAcentral's name for it is "bacterial SSU rRNA". It matches the Rfam family "Bacterial small subunit ribosomal RNA", at positions 28 to 507 of the family's 1533-position model. The record is from RNAcentral.
GAUGAACGCUAGCUACAGGCUUAACACAUGCAAGUCGAGGGGCAGCACAGUGUAGCAAUACAUGGGUGGCGACCGGCGCACGGGUGCGUAACGCGUAUCCAACCUUCCCGAUACUCUUGGAUAGCCUUCCGAAAGGGAGAUUAAUACAAGAUGGUGUUUCACUUUCGCAUGUUAUUGAAACUAAAGAUUUAUCGGUAUCGGAUGGGGAUGCGUGACAUUAGAUAGUAGGCGGGGUAACGGCCCACCUAGUCUACGAUGUCUAGGGGUUCUGAGAGGAAGGUCCCCCACACUGGAACUGAGACACGGUCCAGACUCCUACGGGAGGCAGCAGUGAGGAAUAUUGGUCAAUGGUCGGAAGACUGAACCAGCCAAGUAGCGUGAAGGAUGAAGGUUCUAUGGAUUGUAAACUUCUUUUAUACGGGAAUAAAACACCUUACGUGUAGGGUCUUGUAUGUACCGUAUGAAUAAGCAUCGGCUAACUCCGUG